Molecule: long non-coding RNA, 442 nt
Filed under: Rhinopithecus bieti (black snub-nosed monkey)
Lineage: Eukaryota; Metazoa; Chordata; Mammalia; Primates; Cercopithecidae
Description: lncRNA (ENSRBIG00000045929.1)
Source: RNAcentral
UAUUUUCCAGCCAAAUGGUGCAACAGAGGACUUCCAGGAAUUUGUUCUUGUUCUCUAUCAAAGGCCCUACAGAUUCAGGACCACGGCCAGCACCCACACUGCCUUCCGUAAACACUGAGCUAAACCUAGAGCCUCGGUGAUGAGAUCAGCCCUGCCUUUGUAAGUUGGUUUUCUCAACAAACAUCAACUGAACAUCUACUAAGCAUAAGUCGCUGGCGCAAUGAAGAUUCCCGCUCUGAAGCAGGACGUCCCCACUCUCUCGUAGAACAAAGGCAGUCAAGGGUGCAAGGAUAUUGGAAGCUGUAUUCUGUGAGCGUUCAUGAAGGCUGUGGAAGGAUCCAGGCAGGAUGGCCUCAAAUUAAGAUUUUAAUGACUCUUUGGUUUAGAAAACACACUCUUAUUGUUAACACUAUCUUAUCAGGUAUCAUUUUUGAAUUCACAG